RNAcentral lists this long non-coding RNA (792 nucleotides) under Homo sapiens (human). RNAcentral describes it as "SAT1 divergent transcript, transcript variant 7 (SAT1-DT)". Lineage: Eukaryota; Metazoa; Chordata; Mammalia; Primates; Hominidae. The record is from RNAcentral.
GGGAUUCGCUAGCGGCGCCCUCUAGUGGCGUUUCGCGGAGCCUUGGCGGAAACCCUACUGGGAGCCGGUGUGUCCCCCAGUAACAUUUGCAAAUGAAAGAAGGCACUCAUGAAAGGUGGCCGGGUACCACUGUAUCAAUGGCCCAGUUGCCCAUCUCCUGGCGAGAGAUUUCCCUAAGUGACCUGGAAGUGUCACUAUUACCACCGCCCCACAUGAAUCUUGUGCUGGAGGCGACUAGAGCUGUGUGUCCCUCAGCAGAAGCAGGUGGCAUAAGCAAGAGUUCCAUUUUGGUUUCAUUUUCAGAGGACCCCAAUUGCGCAGUCUGCAAGAAAUAAUGUGCCUCUCAGGAUGGUUCCAAGCUGAGCCCAAAUCACUGAGGGAGAUUCACUGCUUGCUAACAUGAACUUUAUUCCUGGAUAAACAAGUCCCAAACCGUCUUGUCCAUAUGCCACCACGGUCAGGUCAAAACACACAUUAUCAGCUGGGUGCGGUGGCUCACGCUUGUAAUCCCAGCACUUCGGGAGGCCGAGGUGGGCGGAUCACUUGAGGUCAGGAGUUGGAGAUCAGCCUGGCCAACAUGGUGAAACCCCGUCUCUACUAAAAAUACAAAAAUUAGCCGGGCGUGGUGGUACGUGUCUGUAGUCCCAGGUACUCAGAAGGCUGAAGACAUGAGAAUCGCUUGAACCCAGGGGGCGGAGGUUGCUGAGCUGAGAUCAUGCCACUGCACUCGAGCCUGGACAACAGAGUGAGAUCCUAUGCCAAAAACAAACAAUAAAAACCAACAACAAAAAA